UACGGGGGGAGCAAGCGUUGUUCGGAUUUACUGGGCGUAAAGGGCUCGUAGGCGGCCAACUAAGUCAGACGUGAAAUCCCUCGGCUUAACCGGGGAACUGCGUCUGAUACUGGAUGGCUUGAGUUUGGGAGAGGGAUGCGGAAUUCCAGGUGUAGCGGUGAAAUGCGUAGAUAUCUGGAGGAACACCGGGGGCGAAGGCGGCAUCCUGGACCAACACUGACGCUGAGUGAGCGAAAGCCAGGGGAGCAAACGGG
RNAcentral lists this ribosomal RNA (254 nucleotides) under uncultured bacterium. RNAcentral describes it as "partial 16S ribosomal RNA". It matches the Rfam family "Bacterial small subunit ribosomal RNA", at positions 524 to 776 of the family's 1533-position model. The record is from RNAcentral.